RNAcentral lists this ribosomal RNA (237 nucleotides) under Triticum aestivum (bread wheat). Its description in RNAcentral is "partial small subunit ribosomal RNA". Lineage: Eukaryota; Viridiplantae; Streptophyta; Magnoliopsida; Poales; Poaceae. The record is from RNAcentral.
AUGUUCCCGUUCAAUUUCAAGAGGACAUAGUUUCCAGUGAGGCUCAGUUUUGCAAUGACAAUAAACAAAUCACAAGGUCAGACAAUACCAAAUGUCGGCGUCUACCUGCGUGAAUCGGUUUUCUCACAUGGUCAACUAUAUGUUGCGCUUUCUAGAGAGACCGCGACAUCAAACAUAAAGGUAUUAACGGGAGCACAUGAUGAGAAAAAGGGGAAGAAUAAGAAUAUCAGUACAUGA